CCUGGCUCAGGACGAACGCUGGCGGCGUGCCUAAUACAUGCAAGUAGAACGCUGAAGAGAAGAGCUUGCGCUUCUUGGAUGAGUUGCGAACGGGUGAGUAACGCGUAGGUCACCUUCCUGGUAGCGGGGGAUAACUAUUGGAAACGAUAGCUAAUACCGCAUGAUAUUAAUUGUCGCAUGCUUAUUAAUUGAAAGAUGCAAUUGCAUCACUACCAGAUGGACCUGCGUUGUAUUAGCUAGUUGGUGAGGUAACGGCUCACCAAGGCGACGAUACAUAGCCGACCUGAGAGGGUGAUCGGCCACACUGGGACUGAGACACGGCCCAGACUCCUACGG
This 336-nucleotide ribosomal RNA is filed under the name uncultured bacterium. Its description in RNAcentral is "bacterial SSU rRNA". It matches the Rfam family "Bacterial small subunit ribosomal RNA", at positions 18 to 344 of the family's 1533-position model. The record is from RNAcentral.